This 433-nucleotide ribosomal RNA is filed under the name uncultured bacterium. RNAcentral describes it as "partial 16S ribosomal RNA". It matches the Rfam family "Bacterial small subunit ribosomal RNA", at positions 29 to 507 of the family's 1533-position model. The record is from RNAcentral.
AACGAACGCUGGCGGCAUGCCUAACACAUGCCAGUCGAACGAAGCCUUCGGGCUUAGUGGCGCACGGGUGCGUAACGCGUGGGAAUCUGCCCCUUGCUUCGGAAUAACAGUUAGAAAUGACUGCUAAUACCGGAUGAAGUCUUCGGACCAAAGAUUUAUCGGCAAGGGAUGAGCCCGCGUAGGAUUAGGUAGUUGGUGGGGUAAAGGCCUACCAAGCCGACGAUCCUUAGCUGGUCUGAGAGGAUGAUCAGCCACACUGGGACUGAGACACGGCCCAGACUCCUACGGGAGGCAGCAGUGGGGAAUAUUGGACAAUGGACGCAAGUCUGAUCCAGCAAUGCCGCGUGAGUGAUGAAGGCCUUAGGGUUGUAAAGCUCUUUUACCAGGGAUGAUAAUGACAGUACCUGGAGAAUAAGCGCCGGCUAACUCCGUG